AUUUCUCAAAAUGAUGAAAUAUAUAAAUAGUUGGGAUGGUUUUGGGUUUGCUGAGAGAAAAAGAAAGCCAGGGCUGUGUCUGAUUUAACUUCCAGACAUCUUAAUCUCAGAUCUUCGCCUCGCCCAUAAAGCAAGUUGAAAAUGCAGGAAUCCACGGUGUGAAACUAGAUAUUUGCAAGACACCGAAGUCCAAGGCUUAUCCACAGUAAACGUUGUGUGUGCGCGAUAAGGUGUCUGCAUUUGUUCACAGGACUGUGUGUCCAAAAGCGUUAGUGUGUGCGUGUGCCUGGGUGUGUCCGUGUUUAAAACUCAGAAUAGAAGAAAGACCACUACAGGCUGAUCCUGUUAUACGGCACCCCCUGGACAUGGCUUAGCUAAUCACAGUACACCUGGCCUCCUGCUCUGAGAAGGGUUUUACUCCUUAAUCUCCUCAAUUUGCCUCUCCUUCCCCCUGACUUCUCUCCUCUCCCCCACGCCUCAUCCCUGCCUGCUAGUGCCCACACCAUCAGGGUCUAGCAGGAAGCCACUCCGGCGAUUAGAAGAAACAUUCUUGAGACCUUCAAAGCUUUCAUACGUGUCACUCUUGAAACAUAACCCAUUGGCCGACCGGCCGACAGGAAGACAAGGAGACGUGGAGCUUCAUCCCAGCGCAGCCUGCAUGGCGAGGAGAGACCAGGGGCCACAACCACCUGACCUCCCAUUACCCAGAGGCCCUACUGGGGUCUCUCCCCCCUGCUCCUCUCUCAGACCAGAGCAGAAGAUGAGUGAGUCGGUACCACCAGCGCAGCAGCGGACUACAGAGGGGCUACACUGACACGCCGUGCCCAUCAGCCCGUGGGCACUGCGGCAUGAAUGUAACAGCUGGACUCGUGCGAUAACUAAGAGCAGCACUGAGG
This is a long non-coding RNA of Gadus chalcogrammus (walleye pollock), 896 nucleotides long. RefSeq lists it as uncharacterized. The transcript is spliced from 3 exons. The record is from RefSeq and is a predicted model, not a curated record. NCBI's taxonomy places the organism in Eukaryota, Metazoa, Chordata, Actinopteri, Gadiformes, Gadidae.